GGCAGCAGUAGGGAAUCUUCCACAAUGGGCGAAAGCCUGAUGGAGCAAUGCCGCGUGAGUGAAGAAGGUUUUCGGAUCGUAAAACUCUGUUGUUGAAGAAGAACAUGCGUGAGAGUAACUGUUCACGUACUGACGGUAUUCAACCAGAAAGCCACGGCUAACUACGUGCCAGCAGCCGCGGUAAUACGUAGGUGGCAAGCGUUGUCCGGAUUUAUUGGGCGUAAAGAGAAUGUAGGCGGUUUAUUAAGUUUGAAGUGAA
RNAcentral lists this ribosomal RNA (259 nucleotides) under Lactobacillus sp. RNAcentral's name for it is "partial 16S ribosomal RNA". It matches the Rfam family "Bacterial small subunit ribosomal RNA", at positions 347 to 598 of the family's 1533-position model. Lineage: Bacteria; Bacillati; Bacillota; Bacilli; Lactobacillales; Lactobacillaceae. The record is from RNAcentral.